Oncorhynchus keta (chum salmon) is the source of this 4923-nucleotide long non-coding RNA. RefSeq lists it as uncharacterized. The record is from RefSeq and is a predicted model, not a curated record. The transcript is spliced from 4 exons. NCBI's taxonomy places the organism in Eukaryota, Metazoa, Chordata, Actinopteri, Salmoniformes, Salmonidae.
CAGCCAGGCACGUGUGUUGUGACUGAGUAAAUCGUUUUUGUGUUAUUUAGAGGGAAAAUGCGUGCAUUUUAGCGUUUGAGUCACUUUUCAAAAGUUGCUAAAAGUUCCAAAUACAUUUUUAAAAGUAGCUAAAUUUGUUGCUUGGUGCUGUUUGAAAAACAGUUGCUAAAUCUAGCAACAAAAUUGCUAAAUUGGCAUCACUGGUCCUGUGGCACGGAAGAGUAUUUUUGAGUAUGAAGAAAAAAACGGAGACCAGAAAAUGAAACCGAUCGGCCUCUAUGAGGAGCUCUCCUUCACUGACCUGGAGCAGGUGGUGGUUGCCCUCAAAAUGACAGUCAGUAUGGACCAACUCUAAUGAAGAGUUUUGUGCUAGCCUGGAGGAAAUACAGAAAGCCAGACAGGAUACCACAAAAUCCAUCAGUGAGAAGGACAAAGGACUGCUUGAAUCAGUCAAGAGCAGCAAAAUAUAAGUAGACUUAGGAUGUUGGCCUUUCUUUGGAGCAUGGGGCUGAUGACAAUGCUCAGAAAACAAAUUAGGCCUCAUCUCCCUGCACAACUCAGCCUCAUACGGGCCAGAAGAGGACUGGCCACCCCACAUAUGCUCUCUCUAAUUCUCUCUCUCGGAGGACUUGAGCCCUAGGACCAUACCCCAGGACUACCUGACAUGAUGACUCCUUGCUUUCCCCAGUCCACCUGACCGUGCUGCUGCUCCAGUUUCAACUGUUCUGCCUUAUUAUUAUACGACCAUGCUGGUCAUCUAUGAACAUUUGAACAUCUUGGCCAUGUUCUGUUAUAAUCUCCACCCGGCACAGCCAGAAGAGGACUGGCCACCCCACAUAGCCUGGUUCCUCUCUAGGUUUCUUCUUAGGUUUUGGCCUUUCUAGGGAGUUUUUCCUAGCCACCGUGCUUCUACAGCUGCAUUGCUUGCUGUUUGGGGUUUUAGGCUGGGUUUCUGUACAGCACUUUGAGAUAUCAGCUGAUGUACGAAGGGCUAUAUAAAUACAUUUCAUUUGAUUUGAGUUAGACACUGAACCAUUGCCUAGAAAUUAUUCUGCACAACGGGCCGAAAUAGUAGCAUUGACUAGAGCCUGCGAAAUAAGAAAAGAGAGAAAGGUUACUAUUUACACAGACAACACAUAUGCAUUUAAAACCAUACAAAGCAGCACAGAUACAUUUUUAAAGUAGAUAAAUCACUUGACAGAGAAUUGUUACAGGAUAGCCAAGAACGAACGCCCCAGGGAGAAUUGGACAUGUGGAAAAUGAAAGGGGCGAUCCUACAAGAUAAUGUCAGACAUAAGGAUAAUUUACUAAUCUUACCUAAGUCAUUGUUUAGAUAUGCAGCAAUAUUGACACAUGGGCAGAGCCAUGUGCCAACAGGGAGAAAGGAUUGUAGAGCAGGUUAGGAAACACCAGGUGGUAGAGCAGGUGAGGAAACACCAUGUGGUAGAGCAGGUUAGGAAACACUGCAGGUUAGGAAAGACUUAGUGGCCUAGAAGAUAACUACUUAAAAAAAUAAAAAUUGUAGAAUAUCCAUUCCAACAUUUGGAAAUGGACUUCAUUGAACUAUUCUCGAAGUGAAGGGAAGAAGGGGUGUUUAACAAUAAUAGACAAGUAUAGCAAAUGGGUAGAAGCGUUUCGAACUUACUUGGCGAUUAUGGUAGAUUAUGGUAGCUAAAAUAUUAGGUCAAGAUAUUAUCCCUAGAGUUGGUUUACUAGGAUCUAUUUCUUUAAAUAAUGGAUGACAUUUUAGCUAAUCAGGUAGAACAAAUAGAAUGCCAGAGUUAGGGACCAGAACAGGACAGGUAGACAUAGAAGUUGAAGAUAUACUAGCAGAACACAUGAGAAGACUGUUUGUUAACCAAACCCGUAUGUCCAAGAUUUUGUGUCGAACAGGUGAAUGACAGGAGAAGGUGAUUCACUCAAUCCAACCAGGAGACUGGGUGUGGAUCCAGUCCCUGAGGAGAAAAGACUGGAAGCAGCCCCGUUGGUAAGGCCCAUAGCAGGUUCUGUUAAACCACCAGCUUUGCCAUUAGAAUAGCUGAGAGAGUCACUUGGGUCCACGUUACCCACUGCAAAAGGGUAUGUACACAUACAAGCACUGCUGCUCACACACAGAGUUAGGUGAAGAACCGAGUACCAACAGGGUCCAGGGGUCACCUCCUUAACGAAGAUUCCCUAUCCCGACCUUUCAUCACUGUGUGUGCUCCUAGAGGCGUGAGUAAGGGGUGGUACCUAGCAGAUCGACGAAGGGCAGGAUAGGGUUGGCGGUUUUUGGGAAGACAAGGAACUCUGAGCUGCAUCAUAGUCUUGGUAACCUUUCUGAUACAUCCAGACCCACCACCUUCCGGUACUAAUUAUAUGAUGCCGUUGUCAUUGAUAAGAAGUAAAAGAUAAACUAUAUAAUACACUCAUGAGUGACUUACAGAAUAAGGAGUCAAAGAAGAUCAAGAAGGUAAACAUUAAACAAUUCCCUAGGAAAGCAAAUAACUUUACAGGGAUUGGGUUGGCCAGAUUGAAGUAAUAAUAAAUAAUAAAUAAAUAAGUACUCGGCCAACCCACCUCGGUUCACUUUAACUCCCGAUGAGUACCAGUGUUAUAGAUACAAGAAUGGCACCGAGAUUUUAAUGGCUGAAAGUUAAUCGUUAAUGUGACUGACUUAGGUUUGGAAGUACAGGAGAAAAUUCUUAACUUCUCUGAACAAUUAUCCGCCACCUCCCUCAUGACCUGGUAAAAUAGACUGACUCUCGAUAUGUUAUUGGCAGAAAAGAGCGGGGUAUGUAGAAUGAUUGGGGUUCAUUGCUGUACGUUUAUUUUUUAAUAACACAGCUCCAGACGGAUCAGUGACCAAGGCCCUGUCAAGUUUGACCACAUUAGCUCAUGAGUUAGCAGAGAACUCUGGGGUGGAUACUUCCCUGACAGGGUGGUUCGAUAGCAUGUUUGGGAAAUGGAAAAAUAUCGUAAGUGCUGUAUUGUGGGCUGCUUUCACCUGUAUGAGUGUGUUGGUGUUGUGUGGAUGCUGUUUGGUCCCAUGUGUGAGAGGUUUAAUCACCAGAACUCUAGAGAGAUCGAUGACGCAACAGAUGGUGAGAUAUGGACCGAUUCCGAGCUCCGACCAGUGGGAUGACAAAUACAGGCGUCCAGGCCUAGGAGAUGGCUCCGUUUCUUUUAACCACGAGGAGCCAAUGUUAGAUGAGACUGUCUUCAAUAUUUAGAGAGACUGUUCCUUUAAUGAAGAUUAUAAUACAAAUCCCAAAAAGAAGAGUUAUAAUUGGAUAUAGGCCUAGAGCAGUCGAUGAUAAGAAUCUGUUGUAAAUACAUGUAUUCGUUUUGUUUGAUUUUGUGUAACAUUUUUGAUUCCAUAUGAUGGUGGAUGUAUCAGUGUGUAUUAUUUAGUCAUUAAGGGUGGAUUGAUUAAGGGAAUUAAUAUGCUUAAAGGUAAUGAUUAAUAUUCAGCAAAGAACAACAAAAAACACUUAUUUUUACAGGGAAAUCAUAAUUAGUAAAUAGGACACACCUGACUGUCAUUAAUGUCUCUAGGACAGUCUCUGCCGCCUUCUGGUGACAGGUGGAACCAUGACAGGUUUACAAAUGCUGUUUUGAAUUAAAGAAAAUUGUACCUACACACUGAAGAAAGUCUGUGUACGGUAUCCCUGAUGCAGUAAAAAAAAAAAAUUUGAGGUGAGCUUUAUGCGACAUAUUUGUAUUGCGAACCCAUUACACCUCUUUGUUUGUUGUCUAAUGAAUAACUUCACCAUGCUCAAAGGGAUAUUCAUUGUCUGCUUUUUUUAUUCUUACCCAUAUAGGAAUAUUUGACCUUCUUUGCGAGGCAUUGGAAAAUAUGCCUGGUCUUUGUGGUUGAAUAUGUGUUUGAAAUUUACUGCUGGACUGAGGGACCUUACAGAUAAUUGUAUAUGCGGGGUACAGAGAUGAGGUAGUCAUUCAAAAAUCAUGUUAAAUACUAUUAUUGCACACCAAGUGAAUCCAUGCAACGUAUUAUGUGACUUGUUAAGCAAAUGUUUACUCCUGAGCUUAUUUAGCCUUGCCAUAACAAAAUGCAAGAGUUGAAUAGCUAUUGACUCAAGACAUUUCAGCUUUUCAUUUGAAAUUGAUUUACAAAAAUGUCGAAAAACAUCAUUCCACUUUGACAUGAUGGGUUAUUGUGUGUAGGCCAGUGAUCCAAAAAUCUAAAUGUAAUCCAUUUUAAAUUCAGGCUGUAACACAACGAAAUGUGGAAUAGUCAAGGGGUGUGAAUAUUUUUUGAAGGCACUGUAUGUUAAUAUACAGUAUGUUAAUUGCAUGCAAAUAAAGGUUGCUUCUCUACCACACCCAUAACAGAAGCACAAUCAUGGCCUCGGUUAUGUAGGUGGAGGACUUCUGUGAGAGGUCGCUGUCACGCCUGAAUUCGACCCUACGAUGAAGUCUGCUGCAGUGUUGAGAGGUUGUAUGAAAUCGAUCGGUAUGUCAAGUAAAGCUCUUAAAUCUUAAACAUGCCAGCCCGAUAUCAAUUUCUAUUCAGUUCAACUCUCCAUAAAUUCGGCGUCUGAACUGUGUAUUAGACAGGUAAAUUGCUGAACCUGGUGCAAGGGGUGGAAGAUGCCAGAGGGACAGUUUUUACAAGCUGAAAUUGCUAACUGAAGUGUUUCACAAUAGCCCCGCCCUAGCGCGAAACUAGCAGCAAAUUGAAAUGUUUAUGACACAAAUUUAGAGGCGAAGCCAUGGCAGUACCUGGCUGGGCAGGGUGCCUGCUAGAUUGAUCAAGAUGGCACCGACAGACAGCUCUACUUAUGGCUCCACAAGCAUUUCUUUACACCAGCAAUAACAUCUGCUAAAUAUGUGUGUGACCAAUAAAACUACACAUUUUAUUUUAUCUGAUUGAACAUUGACCACCCUGGCUUAAAAUAAAAUAAAAAAUUAAUUACAUUA